UCGGGAAUUUUGGGCAAUGGGCGAAAGCCUGACCCAGCAACGCCGCGUGAAGGAUGAAGUAUUUCGGUAUGUAAACUUCGAAAGAAUAGGAAGAAUCAAUGACGGUACUAUUUAUAAGGUCCGGCUAACUACGUGCCAGCAGCCGCGGUAAUACGUAGGGACCAAGCGUUGUUCGGAUUUACUGGGCGUAAAGGGCGCGUAGGCGGCGCGGUAAGUCACUUGUGAAAUCUCUGAGCUUAACUCAGAACAGUCAGAUGAUACUGCUUUGCUAGAGUGCAGAAGGGGCAAUCGGAAUUCUUGGUGUAGCGGUGAAAUGCGUAGAUAUCAAGAGGAACACCUGAGGUGAAGACGGGUUGCUGGGCUGACACUGACGCUGAGGCGCGAAAGCCAGGGGAGCAAACGGGAUUAGAUACCCUAGUAGUCCCUGAGCGGGCUGGCAAGGCGCAU
Molecule: ribosomal RNA, 447 nt
Filed under: uncultured bacterium
Lineage: Bacteria
Description: bacterial SSU rRNA
Rfam family: Bacterial small subunit ribosomal RNA
Source: RNAcentral